RNAcentral lists this microRNA precursor (111 nucleotides) under Medicago truncatula (barrel medic). Its description in RNAcentral is "MIR5284 microRNA precursor family". It matches the Rfam family "MIR5284 microRNA precursor family". The record is from Rfam by way of RNAcentral. Lineage: Eukaryota; Viridiplantae; Streptophyta; Magnoliopsida; Fabales; Fabaceae.
UUGUAAUUUCAGAUUAUUUCACUUUUGAUCUCUCAUUUUACGUGUCAUGUAUGCAGAUUCUGCUGACGUGGUGAAAUGAGAGACUAAAAGUUGAAGAAUCUGAAAUUACAG